RNAcentral lists this unclassified non-coding RNA (342 nucleotides) under soil metagenome. RNAcentral describes it as "partial contains 5.8S ribosomal RNA, internal transcribed spacer 2, and large subunit ribosomal RNA". The stretch from base 1 to 120 matches the Rfam family "5.8S ribosomal RNA", at positions 35 to 154 of the family's 154-position model. The record is from RNAcentral.
GAUGAAGAACGUAGCGAAAUGCGAUAAAUAGUGUGAAUUGCAGAAUUCAGUGAAUCAUCGAAUCUUUGAACGCACAUUGCGCCUCCUGGUAUUCCGGGAGGCAUGCCUGUUCGAGCGUCAUCAAAAACCUCAACCCAUGAUUUAUUGUGAGUUGGUUCUGCAUUGGACUCCUUGUGGGUCCUUUGCGAAAUCCAAUGGCGAAGAGCCACGCAACCAAAGCGUAGUAUAACUAUUUCGUUAUGGAAGCGUGGGUGCCUCUGCCGUAACCCCCAAUUUCUUAGUUUUUGACCUCGGAUCAGGUAGGGAUACCCGCUGAACUUAAGCAUAUCAAUAAGCGGAGGA